RNAcentral lists this ribosomal RNA (462 nucleotides) under uncultured bacterium. RNAcentral's name for it is "bacterial SSU rRNA". It matches the Rfam family "Bacterial small subunit ribosomal RNA", at positions 335 to 787 of the family's 1533-position model. The record is from RNAcentral.
ACUCCUACGGGAGGCAGCAGUGGGGAAUAUUGGACAAUGGGCGAAAGCCUGAUCCAGCCAUGCCGCGUGUGUGAAGAAGGUCUUCGGAUUGUAAAGCACUUUAAGUUGGGAGGAAGGGCAGUAAGUUAAUACCUUGCUGUUUUGACGUUACCAACAGGAUAAGCACCGGCUAACUUCGUGCCAGCAGCCGCGGUAAUACGAAGGGUGCAAGCGUUAAUCGGAAUUACUGGGCGUAAAGCGCGCGUAGGUGGUUCAGCAAGUUGGAUGUGAAAUCCCCCCGGGCUCAACCUGGGGAACUGCAUCCAAAACUACUGAGCUAGAGUACGGUAGAGGGUGGUGGAAUUUCCUGUGUAGCGGUGAAAUGCGUAGAUAUAGGAAGGAACACCAGUGGCGAAGGCGACCACCUGGACUGAUACUGACACUGAGGUGCGAAAGCGUGGGGGCAAACAGGAUUAGAUACCC